CAAGAGGCUGGCAGAGGUUUCACUCCCUGCAGUGCUGAGGCCUGCUGGGUGGCAGAAGUCACAAAGGAAGAGGUUAAACUGAGAGGCUUCCAAUGAUGUAACCAGAGAUGGACUUUUGAGCAAAAACAAGUAAACAAUACGUGAUUUACUGAGAACCUAUACGUUCGAUAUCAUGACGCUAGCAAGGAAAACAGCAAUUGAUCAUCAGUACCUAAGACU
Molecule: long non-coding RNA, 219 nt
Filed under: Pan troglodytes (chimpanzee)
Lineage: Eukaryota; Metazoa; Chordata; Mammalia; Primates; Hominidae
Description: long non-coding RNA NONPTRT016591
Source: RNAcentral